UGAAAAAGAAGGAGUCAGCUGUCAACCUGCAAGUCAACAGCGGCCUCUCCAUACAGGGGAUCUUCCAUUCCUGCCUUUGAGCUUGGCCGCCCCCACAACAGGGCUGUGAAGACGUGGCUGCACCCCCCAGUGCCCCUGACCUUGAGAGCAAAGUGAGAAGAGAAAGAAAAAGAGGAGCGAGAAGAUGACCUCCUAGGACCCCUGCCCCAGGGAAGCCCUGUUCCUCAGAUGCGCAUCACAGACCCCAGGGGCCUUUUCCUCUAGAAGGUGUCCACACAAACAGCCAUGGGGCCCUCUAAAGGUGGCUCCCUUCGCACAGGAGAACACUCAACCACACGGACCCACUGAGGACACACGUGUGCAGCGUGAGCAUUGCCAUCAGUGCUGCGUGACAGUCACCUCUUCUCCAGACCCUGCUUGGAGUCCCUGACCCGUCUCACCAUCACGUGAUCUCAAGUUUAUUGAAGGAAAUCAGAUGCAGCAGCAAACAUGCUUCUCAGGCUCAGAAACAAAACCCUCGCCACUGAGCUGAUGAGUGUCUCUGUGCUUCUGAACAGUGUGGACAAGGUUAAUGAAUGAGGCCCAGGCAGGCCUGUGGGCUCCUUCAAUCGGGGCAUCGAAAGCCUGGGAAGUUUUAACAGAGGCUGUUGAUGGGCAUGUUUCAAAGCAAACAGCAUCAGGGCCCUGACAGGCCAAUGA
RNAcentral lists this long non-coding RNA (699 nucleotides) under Homo sapiens (human). RNAcentral describes it as "HSALNT0157316". The record is from RNAcentral. Lineage: Eukaryota; Metazoa; Chordata; Mammalia; Primates; Hominidae.